UUUGAACGGCUACACCCAAAAUUAUAUCUUAAUCCAACAUCGAGGUCGCAAUCUUUUUUAUCGAUAUGAACUCUCCAAAAAAAUUACGCUGUUAUCCCUAAAGUAACUUAAAUUUUUAAUCAUUAUUAAUGGAUCAAUUAUUCAUAAAUUAAUGGUUUUAAAAAUUAAAAGUUUUUUAAAUUUUAAUAUCACCCCAAUAAAAUAUUUUAAUUUAUUAUAAUAAAAAUAAUCUUUAUAAUUAAAAUAAACAAAAUAUAAAGAUUUAUAGGGUCUUCUCGUCUUUUAAAUUUAUUUUAGCUUUUUGACUAAAAAAUAAAAUUCUAUAAAAAAUUUAAAUGAAACAGUUAAUAUUUCGUCCAACCAUUCAUUCCAGCCUUCAAUUAAAAGACUAAUGAUUAUGCUACCUUUGCACAGUUAGAAUACUGCGGCCAUUUAAAAUUUUCAGUGGGCAGGUUAGACUUUAAAUUUAAUUCAAAAAGAC
RNAcentral lists this ribosomal RNA (481 nucleotides) under Drosophila cracens. RNAcentral's name for it is "partial 16S ribosomal RNA". The record is from RNAcentral. Lineage: Eukaryota; Metazoa; Arthropoda; Insecta; Diptera; Drosophilidae.